GAAAACGCCCUUCAGAGCAAUGGCUGGCAGGAUCUACGCGGUUUAUGUAGCAUGGAUGGAAACUGCUCUUUGGAGAGGAGGGAUGCUAGGACAACCUCGAGAUCAAGAUGUGGAAUUCUCUGCUCCUUCUCGAGCACCAAGUCUACCUGUGUGCCACCAUGCUUGAACCAUGAUGAUAAUGUGUUGCAGUAAAUAUUAAAAAAGAAGGUUUGUAGUCUCCCUCAUCCUUGAAGCAGGCUGAUCCAGACUUUGACCUUGCUGCCACUAAAAAGGAGAUUACCUAGGGUUGAGCCUUCUGACCUUGAUGGCUCUAUUUGCUCUUCUCCAAGACUCUGCUUCCUGCUGAAAGGUCCUUGAGACAUUCCGGAGACACACCCUGUAGAUCACCUACUGGCUGGCUCAAGGCACCAAGAAUGGGCUGGUGGGAAAUGGACCUACCCUCUUUAUAAGCACAGAUUCUCAGUAAACUUCGGAGCCCUUGAACAGAAACAUGUCUUGGCCUCCAUUUUUUCUCUCGUCAUUUCCUUCCAUAAAGCUCUGGCCUCCCACUCAGGAACUCAGUUAGUGUGGCCGGAGGUGGCUACAGGA
RNAcentral lists this long non-coding RNA (588 nucleotides) under Mus musculus (house mouse). RNAcentral's name for it is "predicted gene 45431". The record is from RNAcentral. Lineage: Eukaryota; Metazoa; Chordata; Mammalia; Rodentia; Muridae.